GGGGCUUUGCUGUCAGCGCCAGGCGCGGACGGAUGCACCGUUCCCUGCAUGGCAUGCAGGGGGUCAGCGGUUCGAGUCCGCUUGGCUCCA
Molecule: transfer RNA, 90 nt
Filed under: Cyanobium sp. FGCU6
Lineage: Bacteria; Bacillati; Cyanobacteriota; Cyanophyceae; Synechococcales; Prochlorococcaceae
Description: tRNA-Ser
Source: RNAcentral